RNAcentral lists this transfer RNA (84 nucleotides) under Candidatus Pelagibacter sp. RNAcentral describes it as "tRNA-Leu". It matches the Rfam family "tRNA". Rfam says of the family: Transfer RNA (tRNA) molecules are approximately 80 nucleotides in length. Their secondary structure includes four short double-helical elements and three loops (D, anti-codon, and T loops). Further hydrogen bonds mediate the characteristic L-shaped molecular structure. tRNAs have two regions of fundamental functional importance: the anti-codon, which is responsible for specific mRNA codon recognition, and the 3' end, to which the tRNAs corresponding amino acid is attached (by aminoacyl-tRNA synthetases). tRNAs cope with the degeneracy of the genetic code in two manners: having more than one tRNA (with a specific anti-codon) for a particular amino acid; and 'wobble' base-pairing, i.e. permitting non-standard base-pairing at the 3rd anti-codon position. Lineage: Bacteria; Pseudomonadati; Pseudomonadota; Alphaproteobacteria; Candidatus Pelagibacterales; Candidatus Pelagibacteraceae. The record is from RNAcentral.
GCGGUUAUGCUGGAAUUGGUAGACAGGCACGGUUGAGGGCCGUGUGGGUUUUCCGUGAGAGUUCGAGUCUCUCUAACCGCACCA